CGGUAAUACGAAGGGACCUAGCGUAGUUCGGAAUUACUGGGCUUAAAGAGUUCGUAGGUGGUUAAAAAAGUUGGUGGUGAAAUCCCAGAGCUUAACUCUGGAACUGCCAUCAAAACUAAAACUUUUAGCUAGAGUAUGAUAGAGGAAAGCAGAAUUUCUAGUGUAGAGGUGAAAUUCGUAGAUAUUAGAAAGAAUACCGAUUGCGAAGGCAGCUUUCUGGAUCAUUACUGACACUGAGGAACGAAAGCAUGGGUAGCGAAGAGGAUUAGAUACCCUCGUAGUCCAUGCCGUAAACGAUGUGUGUUAGACGUUGGAAAUUUAUUUUCAGUGUCGCAGCGAAAGCAAUAAACACACCGCCUGGGGAGUACGACCGCAAGGUUAAAACUCAAAUGAAUUGACGGGGACCCGCACAAGUAGUGGAGCAUGUGGUUUAAUUCGAAGAUACGCGCAGAACCUUACCAACACUUGACAUGUUCGUCGCGACUCUAAGAGAUUAGAGUUUUCGGUUCGGCCGGACGAAACACAGGUGCUGCAUGGCUGUCGUCAGCUCGUGUCGUGAGAUGUUGGGUUAAGUCCCGCAACGAGCGCAACCCUCACUUUUAGUUGCCAUCAUUAAGUUGGGCACUCUGAAAGAACUGCCGGUGAUAAGCUGGAGGAAGGUGGGGAUGACGUCAAGUCCUCAUGGCCCUUACGUGUUGGGCUACACACGUGCUACAAUGGUAUCUACAACAGGAAGCAAGAUGGCAACAUUAAGCAAAUCCUAAAAAGAUACCUCAGUUCGGAUUGCACUCUGCAACUCGAGUGCAUGAAGCUGGAAUUACUAGUAAUCGUGGAUCAGCGUGCCACGGUGAAUACGUUCCCGGG
This 864-nucleotide ribosomal RNA is filed under the name uncultured bacterium. RNAcentral describes it as "bacterial SSU rRNA". It matches the Rfam family "Bacterial small subunit ribosomal RNA", at positions 518 to 1378 of the family's 1533-position model. The record is from RNAcentral.